This is a long non-coding RNA of Acanthochromis polyacanthus (spiny chromis), 963 nucleotides long. RefSeq lists it as uncharacterized. The transcript is spliced from 4 exons. Lineage: Eukaryota; Metazoa; Chordata; Actinopteri; Pomacentridae. The record is from RefSeq and is a predicted model, not a curated record.
AUGCUUACAUUUGUCUCCAUACACACAAGCACAAACUGAUAACAGCCAUGAUAAAUGCACACUCGGGUGUCUUUAGGGAUCACAAGGGUCCCUGCGGAGAAAAAAAUAAUCAAUUGAAUAAUAUCAGCAAUAUUUCUCUCCUAGUCCACACAAUGAAGAAUGCAAAGGAUGGCAAAUUUGAGCAUCACUUUAUGAUCCCUGCCGAAACGGUCCACUCCUACAAAGCUGAAGACCAAUUUAGUGUGAUCAUAUGUCAUAGCAUCUUCUUUUUGUUUUUCUCAAGACACAAUAUUAUGCUAUAUCGAGAUCUGAUCCUUUAUCCAGAUCAUGGUUAAGUUAAAAUCCAAAAUGACAGAUAAAAUACACCCCUCGCCUGUAGCAUGAUGAGAAGGCUUUCUUACCAUGCACAAUAGGUGAACGCACAGUUCCAGUGGGUUCACAAUGGCAGUAUUACAAGGUCAGCUCUGAGGUUUCGCCUGGCUCAGCAAAGACCUGCAGGGCUGUGGGGCAUGCUGCUCAGCUGACGGGGCUCUUUGCUUGUUCACGGUGCUCUUUCUCGAAGGGGCCCCAGUGACAGAGCCAUUCACAAGCACGGGCCAUAAAUGACCGAGUUGAACACCACAUUAGGCACUGCAUUCUCAGAAACCAGCAUUGCCUCUGGAGCACAGCCAAAAUGCCAGGAACGAAAGGUAAUAAGUCGGACAAGAAGUCAGCUACCAAGCAACCUCAGAGUCCUAAAGAGCAGCCGAAGAAAGGUGAUCAGAAAGGAGAUGAUAACAAGAAGCAAGGAGGACAGCCGAAGGGAGAGAAGCAAUAACUUCCAGGCAUUCGUGAAGAUGGCUUUGGAGACGCUGCUGGGGUCCUGUCGUCGUAAACAUGGGGGUCCUCGGGGCAGACAGGGCUGAGCGUCCCUCCCCUCCCCUCCGCACUUUUCCCCCAGAGCCUACAGACUGCAGUGACGUU